This 489-nucleotide ribosomal RNA is filed under the name uncultured bacterium. Its description in RNAcentral is "partial 16S ribosomal RNA". It matches the Rfam family "Bacterial small subunit ribosomal RNA", at positions 29 to 504 of the family's 1533-position model. The record is from RNAcentral.
AGUGAACGCUGGCGGUAGGCCUAACACAUGCAAGUCGAACGGCAGCACAGUAAGAGCUUGCUCUUACGGGUGGCGAGUGGCGGACGGGUGAGGAAUACAUCGGAAUCUACUUUUUCGUGGGGGAUAACGUAGGGAAACUUACGCUAAUACCGCAUACGACCUACGGGUGAAAGCAGGGGAUCUUCGGACCUUGCGCGAUUGAAUGAGCCGAUGUCGGAUUAGCUAGUUGGCGGGGUAAAGGCCCACCAAGGCGACGAUCCGUAGCUGGUCUGAGAGGAUGAGCAACCACACUAGAGCGAAGAGGCGGAGCAGACUCCGACAGGAGGCAGCGGGGAAGAAUAGAGGACAGGGGGCAGAAUGCUGAAGCAGCCAUGCCUCGGUGAAGAAGAAGGCCGUCUUGUUGUAAAGCCCUUUUGUGAGAGAAGAAAAGCAGCAGAAUAAUACCCCGCUGUGCUGGCAGUACCCGAAGAAGAAGCAGCGACUAACGUC